UGGGGAAUAUUGGUCAAUGGAGGCAACUCUGAACCAGCCAUGCCGCGUGCAGGAUGACGGCCCUAUGGGUUGUAAACUGCUUUUGUACCAGAGAAAACCCCAGUACGUGUACUGGGUUGAUAGUAUGGUAAGAAUAAGCAUCGGCUAACUUCGUGCCAGCAGCCGCGGCAAGACGAAGGAUGCAAGCGUUAUCCGGAUUCAUUGGGUUUAAAGGGUGCGUAGGCGGACUUGUAAGUCAGUGGUGAAACCUCUCAGCUUAACUGAGAAACUGCCAUUGAUACUGCAGGUCUAGAGUAUAGAUGACGUUGGCGGAAUAUGACAUGUAGUGGUGAAAUACUUAGAUAUGUCAUAGAACACCGAUUGCGAAGGCAGCUAACGAAACUAUAACUGACGCUGAGGCACGAAAGUGCGGGGAUCAAACAGG
Molecule: ribosomal RNA, 424 nt
Filed under: uncultured bacterium
Lineage: Bacteria
Description: bacterial SSU rRNA
Rfam family: Bacterial small subunit ribosomal RNA
Source: RNAcentral